RNAcentral lists this unclassified non-coding RNA (204 nucleotides) under uncultured fungus. RNAcentral's name for it is "sequence contains ITS1". The record is from RNAcentral. Lineage: Eukaryota; Fungi.
UUAUAUAAUUUAUAUGGUACUCAGACAACACUAAUAAACAGAGUAUGGGUUUCCUCUGACGGACACACACCAGCAGAAGCCAGUGGAGGGACUCAUGCCCUACGGUCCGCCAAAGCAACAGGGUCAUAUAAACAUGGGGUGGAGAGUCGCUCGCAGUGAGCUUAGUUCUCUCUAAUGAUCCUUCCGCAGGUUCACCUACGGAAA